This 254-nucleotide long non-coding RNA is filed under the name Vitis vinifera (wine grape). RNAcentral describes it as "long non-coding RNA (VVIN_LNC008027)". The record is from RNAcentral. Lineage: Eukaryota; Viridiplantae; Streptophyta; Magnoliopsida; Vitales; Vitaceae.
UUUUAUGAGCUGAGCUGACUAAUAGAUCUUCUAUGCCUAGUCCCUUUGUUUUGUACCAAAAAAGGAAAAAAGGAAGUGAGAAAAAAAGAAAGGAGAAAUCAGAAUGAGAAUUUAGAAGUGCAUGAUUUAAAAUGCUUAAAAGUAUUCUUAGAUUACGUGCAAGGAAUAGGGUCUAUGCAAACAAGUUAUAACCAUCCCAAUUACUAUAAGAUAUAAAUUAGAAAGCGCUCAAGGUUUUGGUUUAGUCAUAACUU